This 525-nucleotide ribosomal RNA is filed under the name uncultured bacterium. RNAcentral's name for it is "partial 16S ribosomal RNA". It matches the Rfam family "Bacterial small subunit ribosomal RNA", at positions 33 to 541 of the family's 1533-position model. The record is from RNAcentral.
AUUGAACGCUGGCGGCAGGCCUAACACAUGCAAGUCGAGCGGAUGAAGGGAGCUUGCUCCUGGAUUCAGCGGCGGACGGGUGAGUAAUGCCUAGGAAUCUGCCUGGUAGUGGGGGAUAACGUCCGGAAACGGGCGCUAAUACCGCAUACGUCCUGAGGGAGAAAGUGGGGGAUCUUCGGACCUCACGCUAUCAGAUGAGCCUAGGUCGGAUUAGCUAGUUGGUGGGGUAAAGGCCUACCAAGGCGACGAUCCGUAACUGGUCUGAGAGGAUGAUCAGUCACAAUGGAACUGAGACAGACAGCAGACGGGAGGGGGAGUGAGCAGGGGAGAAUAAGGGAAAAGGGGCGAACGACGGGCAGCGCGGGGCGGCGUGUGGGAAGAAGGGUUUCAGAGUGUACAAGAAGUUAAGGUGGGUAGGAGGGCAGCAAUUUAAUCUUUAGCUGUUUAGACUAUACAAACAGAAAAAGCAGCGGUUAACGUGCGGCCAGCAGCCGCGGGAAGAGGCGGAAGAGCACGCGUCCGCGC